RNAcentral lists this ribosomal RNA (528 nucleotides) under Triticum aestivum (bread wheat). RNAcentral's name for it is "partial small subunit ribosomal RNA". Lineage: Eukaryota; Viridiplantae; Streptophyta; Magnoliopsida; Poales; Poaceae. The record is from RNAcentral.
CGUAGCGGGUGGACCUCGAGAGGGACUUCGGGCGGGCGUGCUUCUUGUGGUCGGGCAGGAGGAGCGGCCGAAGGCUGAAGGUGAGCAGCCGCUUGAGGGCCAACUGCGCGCGGGUGUCGAGGCCCAUGGCCAACACGCGGCGGUGCCCCAGGAGGGGGCUCACCUCGGCGCGCAGGUCGCCCUCCGGGAGGGGCUUCAGCCGGUAGGUCGGCGAGUGCGGAAGCAGGCGGUAGGGCGCGUCCUACGGGAACUUGGUCCUCGAGCGGAGGCCCAACCACUUCAGGUCGUACCGGUGCAGCUUGCGGCACAACCCGUAGUACAUACCGAGCGGCCGGAGCAGGGAGUGGUCCUAGGGGUCGAGGAACCGGAGGAGCAUGUCUGGCCUGGACGUCGGUCUUUCGCCUCUGGCCCUGCAGCACCAGAACGUCGACGGAGGUGUGUGCCGCCUGCCGGAGGCACGGCGGGACGUACGGCUGCUGGCGCGGCCUCCACUAGGUAGACCCUUCUUGGCCGCCGGCAGGCCAGCUG